UACGGGGGGAGCAAACGUUGUUCGGAAUCACUGGGCGUAAAGGGCGUGUAGGCGGCUGAAUAAGUGGGAUGUUAAAUCCCCCGGCUCAACCGGGGACCUGCAUCUCAUACUGUUCAGCUCGAGCACAUCAGAGGAGACUGGAAUUCCCGGUGUAGCGGUGAAAUGCGCAGAUAUCAGGAAGAACACCCGUGGCGAAGGCGGUUCUCUGGGACGGUACUGACGCUGAGACGCGAAAGCGUGGGGAGCGAACAGG
Molecule: ribosomal RNA, 253 nt
Filed under: uncultured bacterium
Lineage: Bacteria
Description: partial 16S ribosomal RNA
Rfam family: Bacterial small subunit ribosomal RNA
Source: RNAcentral